AAAAGACUUAGUCCUAACCUUACCAUUAAUUCUUGCCAGACCUAUACAUGCAAGUAUCCGCGUACCAGUGUAAAUGCCCCCAACCCCUUACCAAGGUGAGAGGAGCCGGCAUCAGGCACACCCACCGUAGCCCAAGACGCCUUGCUUUGCCACACCCCCACGGGUACUCAGCAGUAACUAACAUUAAGCAAUAAGUGUAAACUUGACUUAGCCAUGGCAAUAUCAGGGUUGGUAAACCUUGUGCCAGCCACCGCGGUCAUACAAGGAACCCAAAUUAAUCGUUUACGGCGUAAAGAGUGGCCCAACACUAUCGUUUAACAUCUGAGGCCAAAACGUGUCCAAGCUGUCAUAAGCCCAAGACACCCCUAAGCCCCCACCCUCUACACGCCUCAAUCUCAACGAUCAACCACCCCCCACGAAAGCCAGGGGACAAACUGGGAUUAGAUACCCCACUAUGCCUGGCCGUAAAUUCAAAUGCUUUCCCUCCCCACCCAAGCAUUCGCCAGGGAACUACGAGCACAAACGCUUAAAACCCUAAGGACUUGGCGGUGUCCCAAACCCCCCUAGAGGAGCCUGUUCUAUAAUCGAUAAUCCACGCUACACCCGACCCCUCCUUGCCCCAAGCAGCCUAUAUACCGCCGUCGCCAGCCCACCUCCCCUGAGAGCCCAACAGUGGGCACAACAGCCCCACCCGCUAGAAAGACAGGUCAAGGUACAGCCCAUGGAGGGGAAAGAAAUGGGCUACAUUUUCUGACGCAGACAACCAACGAAAGAGGUCCUGAAAUAACCCUCAGAAGGCGGAUUUAGCAGUAAGACAUAGUCAUCACAAUUGUCUUAAAUUGGCCCUGGGACACGUACAUACCGCCCGUCACCCUCAUCACAAGCAUUUUUCUCCAUACCCCCCAGGACCACAAACGGCCAGAGAUGAGGCAAGUCGUAACAAGGUAAGUGUACCGGAAGGUGCACUUAGCACAG
Molecule: non-coding RNA, 975 nt
Filed under: Picus canus canus
Lineage: Eukaryota; Metazoa; Chordata; Aves; Piciformes; Picidae
Description: partial 12S ribosomal RNA
Rfam family: Bacterial small subunit ribosomal RNA
Source: RNAcentral